This is a non-coding RNA of Podarcis lilfordi (Lilford's wall lizard), 72 nucleotides long. NCBI's taxonomy places the organism in Eukaryota, Metazoa, Chordata, Lepidosauria, Squamata, Lacertidae. The record is from the annotation of a GenBank genome assembly.
UGAUAGCUCACUCAGUAGAGCACAGGACUCUUGAUCUUGAGGUCGUGGGUUCAAGUCCCAUGUUGGGCAAAA